This 601-nucleotide ribosomal RNA is filed under the name Pseudoalteromonas undina. RNAcentral's name for it is "bacterial SSU rRNA". It matches the Rfam family "Bacterial small subunit ribosomal RNA", at positions 79 to 682 of the family's 1533-position model. Lineage: Bacteria; Pseudomonadati; Pseudomonadota; Gammaproteobacteria; Alteromonadales; Pseudoalteromonadaceae. The record is from RNAcentral.
GCUACUUUGCUGACGAGCGGCGGACGGGUGAGUAAUGCUUGGGAACAUGCCUUGAGGUGGGGGACAACAGUUGGAAACGACUGCUAAUACCGCAUAAUGUCUACGGACCAAAGGGGGCUUCGGCUCUCGCCUUUAGAUUGGCCCAAGUGGGAUUAGCUAGUUGGUGAGGUAAUGGCUCACCAAGGCAACGAUCCCUAGCUGGUUUGAGAGGAUGAUCAGCCACACUGGGACUGAGACACGGCCCAGACUCCUACGGGAGGCAGCAGUGGGGAAUAUUGCACAAUGGGCGCAAGCCUGAUGCAGCCAUGCCGCGUGUGUGAAGAAGGCCUUCGGGUUGUAAAGCACUUUCAGUCAGGAGGAAAGGUUAGUAGUUAAUACCUGCUAGCUGUGACGUUACUGACAGAAGAAGCACCGGCUAACUCCGUGCCAGCAGCCGCGGUAAUACGGAGGGUGCGAGCGUUAAUCGGAAUUACUGGGCGUAAAGCGUACGCAGGCGGUUUGUUAAGCGAGAUGUGAAAGCCCCGGGCUCAACCUGGGAACUGCAUUUCGAACUGGCAAACUAGAGUGUGAUAGAGGGUGGUAGAAUUUCAGGUGUAGCGGU